This 76-nucleotide transfer RNA is filed under the name Gammaproteobacteria bacterium. RNAcentral's name for it is "tRNA-Asp". It matches the Rfam family "tRNA". From Rfam's summary of the family: Transfer RNA (tRNA) molecules are approximately 80 nucleotides in length. Their secondary structure includes four short double-helical elements and three loops (D, anti-codon, and T loops). Lineage: Bacteria; Pseudomonadati; Pseudomonadota; Gammaproteobacteria. The record is from RNAcentral.
GGCCCUGUAACUCAAUUGGAAGAGUGUCGGAUUGUCUAUCCGAAAGUUACGAGUUCGAAUCUCGUCAGGGUCGCCA